UGGAAGUUUAAAAAAUAGCCAUUUGGCCCUCAAACUUUAUAUAAUUACACUAUUUCCCAUUUCUCAACUAUAAAUACACCCUCAUUCUUUCAUUUUUAUUCACCAAUUCAUCAAUAUCUCCCAAUCUCUCUCAAGCUCUCUUUCAAUCUUUCUAGUGCAAGUGCUUACUUUAUUGUUGCAAAUUCGUGAAAAAUUGUGAAGUUGUUGAAUUGAAGUUUUCAAGUGUUCAAGUUCAACGAUUUUCAAUUUUCAUGAAGUUGUUCGUCAAUCCGGUAAACUCGUUUCAACUCUUACGUGCUAAUAGUAUUUUUUUUGUGUUUUUAGUUUGNN
This 330-nucleotide long non-coding RNA is filed under the name Nicotiana benthamiana. Its description in RNAcentral is "long non-coding RNA (NBEN_LNC003067)". The record is from RNAcentral. Lineage: Eukaryota; Viridiplantae; Streptophyta; Magnoliopsida; Solanales; Solanaceae.